AUUUUGGGUCAUGCAUUCUAUCAACUUGUAGUAGUCUUUACACUCUUAUUUGCUGGUAAGAAUUCAGUGUCUAAUAAAGCUUCAGUUAAUUGUUUCUUUUCCAAGCUAAUCAUCCAAGAUGUUAUAAUGUUACAAAUUUUCAAGAGCCUAAAUUCUACUCCUGACUUCCCAUUUAUCUUUAAUUUCUUCUUAAUCAGUGAGUGCUUAGUAAAUUUGGGAGGACAAUAAGCUAGAUAGUAGAAUAAACAGGAGAAUAAACAGUCCUGAUGUCUUACCCUGGCUCUCCACUAAUUUAGAUAUGUGAUCCUGAGAUUAUCACCAUAGUUUUGGGAGCUUCUGUUUCCUUGCCUAUAAAACAAGAGAGUUGUACUAGAUAAUCCCAGGUUUCUCUAGCUCCUUCCAUGCUGCCAUUUCAGAUCAAAUAAAAGGUCUAGCUAAGUUGUAAUUUGUAUACCUCCUUGAAAUCUAAUUUGGUAUGAUAAUUACAAAAUAGUCAUUUUUCAUUCUUUCAGGAGAAAAGUUUUUUGACAUUGAUAGUGGAAGAAAUGCUCCUUUGCAUGCUCCUCCUUCAGAACAUUAUACUAUUGUUUUUAAUACCUUUGUGCUGAUGCAACUUUUCAACGAAAUAAAUGCCCGGAAAAUUCAUGGUGAAAGAAAUGUAUUCGAAGGAAUCUUUAACAAUGCCAUCUUCUGCACAAUUGUUUUAGGCACUUUUGUGGUACAGAUAAUAAUUGUGCAGUUUGGUGGAAAACCU
Molecule: long non-coding RNA, 754 nt
Filed under: Homo sapiens (human)
Lineage: Eukaryota; Metazoa; Chordata; Mammalia; Primates; Hominidae
Description: non-protein coding lnc-POC1B-GALNT4-3:1
Source: RNAcentral